CAACCCUCAAGCAAUGCUUGGUGUUGGGCCGCGCCGCUCACCCGGCGGGCCCUAAAACCAGUGGCGGUGCCGUCGGGCUCUGAGCGUAGUAACUCUUCUCGCUAUAGAGCCCCGGCGGAUGCUAGCCAACAACCCCUAACUUUCUAU
This 147-nucleotide unclassified non-coding RNA is filed under the name uncultured Leptodontidium. Its description in RNAcentral is "sequence contains ITS2". The record is from RNAcentral. Lineage: Eukaryota; Fungi; Ascomycota.